CAGAAACCCUGUAUCAUUUAUCAUAUUUAUAGACAAAACUGUUACACAUGUACGAGAAGAUAUACGUGUUUGCUACAAGAGAUAAACUAUAAGAUUAGUGAGAGUCAAACAACUUGAACUUUAUCAUGUUCGAGCUUUAUCAUAGCCAACUAACUCUAUUAAAGGAUGAGACGUAACAAAAUAAUCUUUAUCCUUACAAGUAGUUGGUGGACAUUUGAUCGAGAAUUAAGUCUCAAAGGAAGCUCCCAAUUUUACUAUCAGAUUAUUGUUUUCAAUUCUAGCGUAGGACUUCGGAGAAUUUCCAUCACUUUCGAGCUAAUUGUGUGGUCUAUCUGAGCACCGCUUGUCUUUAUCCACUCUCCCAAUGAAGACAAUGCGAGGCACUGAUCGCCAUCCUUUAACAAAAUAAAUUGUUUACUAGAGUAACAUUCUUCACUACACAUUCACAAAAUAUAAUAUUCCACACACAAAUCAAUAAAUUUUUUUUAAAUUUCAACCAUACAUUCUCCAAAAACUACUAUUCAAAACUCUAUAUUUUCUUUUAAAAUGGGAGACAAACAGCUCUAGUUUUAGCUUUGACAAAUCAAGUUCUUUCAUUUCUUGAAUUUGUAAUCAGAUUUUGCAAAAUGGUAUUCAUAUGAAAAAAAAUGUUAGUUCUGUCUUUUACGGAUGAGGUGGGAUGGGAUUUCGAGGGAGGGGCGUGUAAGAAGUUCUAAAGGUUUGGAUGGCACAUCGGGUAUAAUUUACAAAACAAUAAAAAAUGUGAGAAUACUAUAAUUAUUCCUUUUUAAUUUUGACGAAUUUUUUUUAUAUAUUUUUUUUCUUAUAACGGUAAAACUAACGAAAUUGGACAUGAUGUCUUUUUCCACCAAAAAUAUUAUUUUCCACACUAAAUAUUUGAAGCAAGGAGAUUUAUAGUAAUUUCGAUAGGUAGGAAAUUUGUUGCACAAUCUCUAAUGGAUAGGAAUUCUAUUGCUAUUAAGCCAAAAUAAAAGUAUUGAUUUCACCUAAACGUAGGAAUGUCAACGAGCCAAGUCGAAUCUACUCGCGAGCCGAAACACAAGGCACGAACUCGGCUCAAGUAAAAUUAAACGGGUCGCCAAGCAAAAGCUCGACCCGAACUUUCGACUCGAGCCUUAACAAGCAAAGCUCGAGCCGUCUCCUUUCUCUCUCUCUCUUUAUUUUUUAUUUUUAAAUAUUGGCAUUAGCACUACUGCCCUAUUUCUCACUGCCUUUUUUUCCUUCAUUUUUUUUUAUAUAAAGCUCGAGCUUGAGUCGGCGAGCCACACGAGCCGGCUCAAGCAAAGCCCGGAACCCCAAAAUGAGGCUCAACUUGAGCCUUGGCUCGACUCCACCGAGCCUCGAGUUGAGCCACAGACAGUCUGAGUCGACAAAUCCAAUAGACAUCCCUACCUAACCAUUACAUACUAAACUUGGAAAUAUUAAACUUCCAUUCAUAGAAUUUUUUCUUUGUUCUUUUUCUUUUUUUUUUUUUUUCACGAGCCAUGUACUUACAUAAUUAAAUAUAAUCAAGUCACCAUAGUACUUCAAUCAUAAAUCUUACAUCUAUAAUCAACCUUUUCAAGAGUUAACCAUUGGAGUUAUAAUUUUAAAUUAACAUCUUAUAUUAAUAACCAUUGUAGCUUUUCAAAAUAUUCUAUUUUGUUCCAAGAUUUUGAAUUUUUUUUUUCAGAAAAUAAAAAUAAUUAUAUAUACUAAAUAGUAAAUUCUUUUCUGAAAUGUGGACUUGUAAUAUAUUUCUUUUCAUAAAGAAAGAUUGCAUUGAACUUUAUUUUAUGCAGAAAAAAUCAGAUUUUAUUAAUUUAAAAGUAAACACAACUAUAAAUUAUUUCAUCUCCUGCCUCCACAGUCAGUAAAACAAUGCUUAUUGAACCCGAAAGCUGUGUUCACCAUAAAGUCGAAAUCAUAAACAAGAAUCCGAUUUGAAAAAGAGAGAGAACUGUGAAACAUAGCGUACUUGGGAAAGUAAGAUUUUUUGAGACUGUUGGGUCAGGACAUAAGCAACUGAAUUCUGUUACCUGUACGGGCCCUGUACAGAAGGACACACAUUAUGGGGGUGGGGUAAUUUUUUUUUUUUUUUCAAAAUAAUCACCCACCCCCACCCCCACCCCUCUCACCCAGCAUGUGAGGGGCUGUACGUCAGGCAUUUUCCUAAGCAACUAAAUCUUCAAUAAAUCUGCUCUUGCACUAAAUAAUACAAUACAGGAAAAUAAAUAACAGGUAAAACAAUAACGUAUAAUAAAGCAGACAAACAUAAUGGUAAUUCAAUGUUUCUUCGUAUGAUCAAUUCUACAUAAAAGUUCACUUGGUAAAACCCCAAAGCAUUCAUUAUUAAGUACACAAAAAGGUCAAUCCAGGAAACUACAUAAAGUAACUUCCCAAUAUAUAUAUAUAUAAUAUAUAUAAAAAAAGACAACAUAUUGACCGUGGCAAGCAUAAAAAUCUUAUUGACAACAAAGAGUCAACAAAUCUGGUAACUGUGAGACGUAUCAGUGAAAGAUCAAGUUCAGACAGCAGGCAGCGCAAUCGUGUAGGCACGAUUGACCGUGUGAGAGAGGAAGAGAGGAAGGGAAGAAGCAAAAAGGGGGGGGAAAGGGGGCCNNNN
This 2626-nucleotide long non-coding RNA is filed under the name Olea europaea (common olive). Its description in RNAcentral is "long non-coding RNA (OEUR_LNC006792)". The record is from RNAcentral. Lineage: Eukaryota; Viridiplantae; Streptophyta; Magnoliopsida; Lamiales; Oleaceae.